GACGAACGCUGGCGGCGUGCUUAACACAUGCAAGUCGAACGGAAAGGCCCUGCUUUUGUGGGGUGCUCGAGUGGCGAACGGGUGAGUAACACGUGAGUAACCUGCCCUGGACUUUGGGAUAACUUCAGGAAACUGGGGCUAAUACCGGAUAGGAGCUCCUGCUGCAUGGUGGGGGUUGGAAAGUUUCGGCGGUUGGGGAUGGACUCGCGGCUUAUCAGCUUGUUGGUGGGGGAGUGGCUUACCAAGGCUUUGACGGGUAGCCGGCCUGAGAGGGUGACCGGCCACAUUGGGACUGAGAUACGGCCCAGACUCCUACGGGAGGCAGCAGUGGGGAAUAUUGCACAAUGGGCGGAAGCCUGAUGCAGCAACGCCGCGUGCGGGAUGACGGCCUUCUGGUUGUAAACCGCUUUCGCCUGUGACGAAGCGUGAGUGACGGUAAUGGGUAAAGAAGCACCGGCUAACUACGUG
Molecule: ribosomal RNA, 468 nt
Filed under: uncultured bacterium
Lineage: Bacteria
Description: partial 16S ribosomal RNA
Rfam family: Bacterial small subunit ribosomal RNA
Source: RNAcentral